UACGGAGGGUGCAAGCGUUAAUCGGAAUUACUGGGCGUAAAGCGUGCGCAGGCGGUUUGUUAAGUCUGCUGUGAAAUCCCCGAGCUCAACUUGGGAAUUGCAGUGGAUACUGGCAAGCUGGAGUACGGUAGAGGAAGGUGGAAUUCCCGGUGUAGCAGUGAAAUACGUAGAGAUCGGGAGGAACACCAGUGGCGAAGGCGGCCUUCUGGACCAGUACUGACGCUCAUGCACGAAAGCGUGGGGAGCAAACAGG
Molecule: ribosomal RNA, 253 nt
Filed under: uncultured bacterium
Lineage: Bacteria
Description: partial 16S ribosomal RNA
Rfam family: Bacterial small subunit ribosomal RNA
Source: RNAcentral